CUCGGUGACUAUGGCGGAGGGGAAACACCCGUUCCCAUUUCGAACACGGAAGUUAAGCCGGGAGCCGUCCCCGGUGGUACUGGGGAAACCCGGGAAGCCGGGGAUGCCGUCC
Molecule: ribosomal RNA, 112 nt
Filed under: Aigarchaeota archaeon
Lineage: Archaea; Thermoproteati; Nitrososphaerota
Source: RNAcentral